AUGCCUGCAGUUUGUAUAUUUGCCGAUAAUUCAACAAGAUUUAGCAGACCUUAUAGUUCUUUGGAACAGCCAUAAUAUAAGAAAACAAAAUCAGGGAGAUAUAUUGUCAGGCAUACCUGAUGUUCUAUAUCAUUAUCCUGAAGUUUAUGGUACUUCAGAUUUCUGUAUUCCUGCAGAUGAGCUGACAUUAAAUUUUUUCAAUGAGCAGUGUCACCAAGAAGCAAGUCUAUUUCAUAAAAUUGAUGAAGACUUUGAGGCAGUUUUAACUGAACUUAGGGACAAUAUAAACAUCCAAGCUGCAGUUGAUUCUGUACAAAAUGCUCGGCAUUUAUUUAUAUAUCUUAAGGACAGAAUGGAGAACUUGCUAUCCUAGAGAUUUUAAAGACUUAUUUGUGUCAGUCAAAUCAUAAAGUCAUCAUUAUCCACUCUAACUAGAAGAGACAAUAUUUGUUACUGGUAUCUUAAUGAUGUGUCAGGUGACAAAAUCUUUGAAGACUAAACUUUUCAGAAUCAACAUAAACUUGUAUGAGAAUUUGUGAUAACUACAAACAUUGAAACUGAUUUUUGUGUGUGUUUAGAUGUUGAGAUGCUAUGAAUGUAAAUGUAUAAGCAUGAAUUAAAUCACAAUUAUUAAUGAUAUAUAUUGUUUUACCAUGUUGAUACAUAGCUGUUAAUUGUGUGAAAUUAUAUUUCAUUUGUAAUAUAUCAAUUUACCUGUCACUUGGUUGAUUGGCCAGUAGAUAAUUGUCUCAUCUGAGAUUAACAAUAUGAGGAUUACCGUCAACAAAUUACAUUCAAUUUUGGCAAACAUUUCAAUAUAGACUGUUUUCUAUUCUGUGCAACUGGGCAACUUGAAUCUUUGAUUUAUGUUUUGGAUCAAAUUAAAUUUUAGUCUAUUUCUGUCGGAGAACCUGACACAAUAAAGGUUAAUGAAAUAUAUAAAAUGAUCUAUAGUUGCAAAUAGUUCAACUGCUUUUAAGAUGGUAUGGGUGUCUUCUUCCAUCUUAAAAUGGGACUAUACUUUAAUUAAGUCAGCAAAUUCUGAUGCAGGAAUGCAACUUAGAAACAAUGAUUUUCAUUUGAAGGAAAGAAUAUAUUUGGCCUUGAUUACAUUAUUUUUAAAAAGUUUUGCUUGAUUUCAAUUUUCUAUAAAUUUGCAUGUUAUAAGGGGAGGUAACUCAGAAAAUGUAUAAUUUAGAAAGUAAUCUUCUGGAAAGUUUUCUAUUUUAUUUUAUGUUAUUGUAAAAAAAAUGUAUGAUGACCACGUUUUGUCUUUUUAUAUUCUGAAAGCAUUUUAUAAGAGACAUAUUACUGACAUUGGAUUAGAUAUACUAGUAGUAACCAUGGACUUUUUAAACUAGU
Long non-coding RNA from Mytilus californianus (California mussel), 1362 nucleotides. RefSeq lists it as uncharacterized. The record is from RefSeq and is a predicted model, not a curated record. Lineage: Eukaryota; Metazoa; Mollusca; Bivalvia; Mytilida; Mytilidae. The transcript is spliced from 3 exons.